Molecule: ribosomal RNA, 261 nt
Filed under: Meloidogyne naasi
Lineage: Eukaryota; Metazoa; Nematoda; Chromadorea; Rhabditida; Meloidogynidae
Description: partial 18S ribosomal RNA
Rfam family: Eukaryotic small subunit ribosomal RNA
Source: RNAcentral
CCUUGUUAGACUUUUGCCCGGUUCAAGCCACUGCGAUUAAGAUUGGUUUCCAUCAAAAAAACAAAUAAAUGGUUGAUUACGUCCCUGCCCUUUGUACACACCGCCCGUCGCUGCCCGGGACUGAGCCAUUUCGAGAAAUUUGGGGACCGUUAAUUAAACAUUUAUUUGUUUUUUUGAUGGAAACCAAUUUAAUCGCAGUGGCUUGAACCGGGCAAAAGUCGUAACAAGGUAGCUGUAGGUGAACCUGCUGCUGGAUCAUUA